GACGAACGCUGGCGGCGUGCUUAACACAUGCAAGUCGAACGGAAAGGCCCUGCUUUUGUGGGGUGCUCGAGUGGCGAACGGGUGAGUAACACGUGAGUAACCUGCCCUUGACUUUGGGAUAACUUCAGGAAACUGGGGCUAAUACCGGAUAGGAGCUCCUGCUGCAUGGUGGGGGUUGGAAAGUUUCGGCGGUUGGGGAUGGACUCGCGGCUUAUCAGCUUGUUGGUGGGGUAGCGGCUUACCAAGGCUUUGACGGGUAGCCGGCCUGAGAGGGUGACCGGCCACAUUGGGACUGAGAUACGGCCCAGACUCCUACGGGAGGCAGCAGUGGGGAAUAUUGCACAAUGGGCGGAAGCCUGAUGCAGCAACGCCGCGUGCGGGAUGACGGCCCUCGGGUUGUAAACCGCUUUCGCCUGUGACGAAGCGUGAGUGACGGUAAUGGGUAAAGAAGCACCGGCUAACUACGUG
Molecule: ribosomal RNA, 468 nt
Filed under: uncultured bacterium
Lineage: Bacteria
Description: partial 16S ribosomal RNA
Rfam family: Bacterial small subunit ribosomal RNA
Source: RNAcentral